This 305-nucleotide long non-coding RNA is filed under the name Nicotiana benthamiana. RNAcentral's name for it is "long non-coding RNA (NBEN_LNC021423)". The record is from RNAcentral. Lineage: Eukaryota; Viridiplantae; Streptophyta; Magnoliopsida; Solanales; Solanaceae.
CCCUUUUAAUGAUGACAAAAUAAUAUAUGUAUAAACACCAAUUGACUUCCCUGCAGUUUGCUCCCCCUCAAUAGGAGCAAUAAGCAAUUUGAGGUGCAUGUAGUCGACUGCAUCAGUUGACUUUGCUGGUAGUUUUACUCCCCCUCGAUAGGAGCAGUGGGUGCUUGAGAGGCAUGUAGUCGACUUGUUAUGUACCUGCACACAAUACAUAGAUAUACCUGCACAUAAUACAUAUAUCCUACACACAUGCUUGGGAGGCAUGUAGUCGACUUGUUAUGUACUUGCAGACACUACAUACAUUCUUU